CGCGAAUUUGCAUGAAAAAUGUGUGAGAAAAGCUAGCUCCGGUGACCUCAUCCGCACCUGCCAUUAACGUUCAAUUAGCGGCUGAAUAGUGGCUGCCGACGCGACGUGCAGAGAAUCCUGCCUGCCCCGCGCAGCUCGGCGGCUGGCGGGGCGCGGGAUCGGGAGGAGGGGCGCGGCGAGACUCAGGGCUCCGCCUGCGGCUCGGGGCUCCAACACCCAGGGCCUCCGCACCCCUAAUCUCAAAGGACCCCAGAACCCCAGAGCCCUGGAGCACUAGGCAGUUUGGGGCGAGUCGGAGCCUUGGAGUGCAGGCUCUCCGGGUCUGCCGGACCGGUGGUGGCGGGCGAGUCGUGUCCCGGCUCAGACAGGCUUCCUCGCCACCUUCCGGACAAAGUGUCAAGUACAAGUUCAAGUUCAGGGGUUGGCCCCAGGAGGAAGGGGGUGGGGGGAGCCAUCCCCAGCUGCCUUUGUUCUCCGGGAUAAGCGCUCUCACGUCCCCGUCCCGGGCGGGGCUCGGCAGAUACCCCCGCCCCGCCCCGCCGCGCCCCGCAGGAGCCACCUCCUCCCGCCCGCACGGCGCCUGUGCCUGGGUCCCGGCGACCCUCCUCAGGGCCACCGAAAGGUCUUGGGGCUUGGGGAGGGGGCGGGGGGGGCGGUCCCUGCCCGUGGGAGCCUCCCCGGCCCCGCAGUCCCAGCAGCAAACUGCGCUUGGUCGGACGGGAUGCCCGCGCAGAGUCAGUGAAAUUGACUUAUGAAUACGUGAUUUAAAAAAAAGAAGAAGAAGAAGAAGAAGAAGAUCGGUUUAAAACACGUUUGAGGUUUGCAUUUAUUUUGCUUUUGAUAUUCACUUCGAUGUAAGAAAGCUCUCAGGGAUUUCCUCUUUCCAUUCCCUAACACUGGAGUCUCCUUUGCAAGCAGGGACCACGAGGAAGGGCAGAAGGGCUCUGCCAGGUGAUCUAUGAAAAGAAAAGGAAAACAUCCAAAGAAACAUUGUCUUACAACAUUUUGUGAAAGCAGUAACAAAAGGGAGCCCUACACACACCAUACAGUCCAUCUGUCCCAGCAUGGUGUGGCCUGGAAGGGCUAGGUGCCUGGGGUCCUCUGACAAAACCUUAAUGUCCUUGGAGAAGCUGAUAUUGACCUCCCUAAUCUCUUUCAGCCCCAGAGAUCUGUCACCGACACUCUGGUUUAUAUGUACAUGUGUCUGUAUGUGUAAGUUUAUGUGUAUAAUUUUGAGACAAGGUUUCUCUAUGUAGCCUUAGCUGUCCUGGAAAUCAUUAUGUAGAUGAGCUAGCUUCAAACUCACAGAAAUCUCCCUGUUUCUUCCCAAGUGCUGGUAUUAAAGGCAUUCGUG
This 1354-nucleotide long non-coding RNA is filed under the name Mus spicilegus (steppe mouse). RNAcentral describes it as "lncRNA (ENSMSIG00000018218.1)". Lineage: Eukaryota; Metazoa; Chordata; Mammalia; Rodentia; Muridae. The record is from RNAcentral.